GCCCAGACAGCCAGGAUGUUGGCUUAGAAGCAGCCAUCAUUUAAAGAAAGCGUAAUAGCUCACUGGUCGAGUCGGCCUGCGCGGAAGAUGUAACGGGGCUAAACCAUGCACCGAAGCUGCGGCAGCGACGCUGAUGCGUUGUUGGGUAGGGGAGCGUUCUGUAAGCCUGUGAAGGUGUGCUGUGAGGCAUGCUGGAGGUAUCAGAAGUGCGAAUGCUGACAUAAGUAACGAUAAAGCGGGUGAAAAGCCCGCUCGCCGGAAGACCAAGGGUUCCUGUCCAACGUUAAUCGGGGCAGGGUGAGUCGACCCCUAAGGCGAGGCCGAAAGGCGUAGUCGAUGGGAAACAGGUUAAUAUUCCUGUACUUGGUGUUACUGCGAAGGGGGGACGGAGAAGGCUAUGUUGGCCGGGCGACGGUUGUCCCGGUUUAAGCGUGUAGGCUGGUUUUCCAGGCAAAUCCGGAAAACUAAGGCUGAGGCGUGAUGACGAGGCACUACGGUGCUGAAGCAACAAAUGCCCUGCUUCCAGGAAAAGCCUCUAAGCAUCAGGUAACAUCAAAUCGUACCCCAAACCGACACAGGUGGUCAGGUAGAGAAUACCAAGGCGCUUGAGAGAACUCGGGUGAAGGAACUAGGCAAAAUGGUGCCGUAACUUCGGGAGAAGGCACGCUGAUAUGUAGGUGAAGUCCCUCGCGGAUGGAGCUGAAAUCAGUCGAAGAUACCAGCUGGCUGCAACUGUUUAUUAAAAACACAGCACUGUGCAAACACGAAAGUGGACGUAUACGGUGUGACGCCUGCCCGGUGCCGGAAGGUUAAUUGAUGGGGUCAGCGCAAGCGAAGCUCUUGAUCGAAGCCCCGGUAAACGGCGGCCGUAACUAUAACGGUCCUAAGGUAGCGAAAUUCCUUGUCGGGUAAGUUCCGACCUGCACGAAUGGCGUAAUGAUGGCCAGGCUGUCUCCACCCGAGACUCAGUGAAAUUGAACUCGCUGUGAAGAUGCAGUGUACCCGCGGCAAGACGGAAAGACCCCGUGAACCUUUACUAUAGCUUGACACUGAACAUUGAGCCUUGAUGUGUAGGAUAGGUGGGAGGCUUUGAAGUGUGGACGCCAGUCUGCAUGGAGCCGACCUUGAAAUACCACCCUUUAAUGUUUGAUGUUCUAACGUUGACCCGUAAUCCGGGUUGCGGACAGUGUCUGGUGGGUAGUUUGACUGGGGCGGUCUCCUCCUAAAGAGUAACGGAGGAGCACGAAGGUUGGCUAAUCCUGGUCGGACAUCAGGAGGUUAGUGCAAUGGCAUAAGCCAGCUUGACUGCGAGCGUGACGGCGCGAGCAGGUGCGAAAGCAGGUCAUAGUGAUCCGGUGGUUCUGAAUGGAAGGGCCAUCGCUCAACGGAUAAAAGGUACUCCGGGGAUAACAGGCUGAUACCGCCCAAGAGUUCAUAUCGACGGCGGUGUUUGGCACCUCGAUGUCGGCUCAUCACAUCCUGGGGCUGAAGUAGGUCCCAAGGGUAUGGCUGUUCGCCAUUUAAAGUGGUACGCGAGCUGGGUUUAGAACGUCGUGAGACAGUUCGGUCCCUAUCUGCCGUGGGCGCUGGAGAACUGAGGGGGGCUGCUCCUAGUACGAGAGGACCGGAGUGGACGCAUCACUGGUGUUCGGGUUGUCAUGCCAAUGGCACUGCCCGGUAGCUAAAUGCGGAAGAGAUAAGUGCUGAAAGCAUCUAAGCACGAAACUUGCCCCGAGAUGAGUUCUCCCUGACUCCUUGAGAGUCCUGAAGGAACGUUGAAG
This 1781-nucleotide ribosomal RNA is filed under the name Escherichia coli. RNAcentral describes it as "partial 23S ribosomal RNA". It matches the Rfam family "Bacterial large subunit ribosomal RNA", at positions 1083 to 2843 of the family's 2925-position model. Lineage: Bacteria; Pseudomonadati; Pseudomonadota; Gammaproteobacteria; Enterobacterales; Enterobacteriaceae. The record is from RNAcentral.